RNAcentral lists this ribosomal RNA (207 nucleotides) under uncultured bacterium. RNAcentral's name for it is "partial 16S ribosomal RNA". It matches the Rfam family "Bacterial small subunit ribosomal RNA", at positions 568 to 774 of the family's 1533-position model. The record is from RNAcentral.
CUCGUAGGCGGUUCGUCGCGUCCGGUGUGAAAGUCCAUCGCUUAACGGUGGAUCUGCGCCGGGUACGGGCGGGCUUGAGUGCGGUAGGGGAGACUGGAAUUCCCGGUGUAACGGUGGAAUGUGUAGAUAUCGGGAAGAACACCAAUGGCGAAGGCAGGUCUCUGGGCCGUCACUGACGCUGAGGAGCGAAAGCGUGGGGAGCGAACA